Molecule: long non-coding RNA, 1321 nt
Filed under: Aotus nancymaae (Ma's night monkey)
Lineage: Eukaryota; Metazoa; Chordata; Mammalia; Primates; Aotidae
Description: lncRNA (ENSANAG00000038645.1)
Source: RNAcentral
CAUCUAGAUGUGUAUAAGAGGUCGGCUGUUGUUGUGUGGGUCCCGCUCUAGCACAAAGUUAAGGAUGAAGGUGAAAAGGAGGAGGUUUGAAGGACUUGGGCUCUCCCUGGCAAGUACAUUGAUCAAAGAUUGAGAGGGGAAUGACAGAGAGAAAAUGAGCUGAAAAGUGCAGGCUGCCGGCUGGACGAGUUGUUGUUGUCACACGGUGCAGAGGGGAGGAGCUCCGGAAACUUGAAAUACCCUUUGAAGCCGCAAAAACCUCACUCACUAGUAUUAACCCAAAUUAUCCAACCAGGAACUCGGAGCAGAGACUCCGAGAGCGCGAGACACUGGAGAGGGAGCGUGCGAGGAAAGGAGGAGGGGAGGGGGAGGAUACGGAAAGAAACUGGGAGGGACGGAGAGGAAAAGCCGGGGACGCAGAAGUGGCGAUCGGAAAAGGAGAGGGAGAUCUUCCACUUCUCUUCUGUACUACCGUUAGAUUGCAUGUCUCACAUUCCAUUUCGUCCGUGGCAACUGUCAUCAGAGGAGCCAUUAGAGUCUUCCUCAAGACUGAAAACGUAAGUGAGAGUGCAUCUUGAAGUGCUGCAACAGAGGAUGAGGAAAAGAUUAGCAUGUGAAGUUCUACCUACCAAAUGUGAGUAAGCAUGGAUAUGUGCCACAGUUUGUAAAGUUUUUUUACUGUAACAUCACCAUCACUUUAGUGUACAUAGCAGUCUCUGUUAUAUAGAUCAUACUUAUCUUUGUGCACUGACCACAUGCUGGUUGCUGAGGAGGCAAAGGAGAAAAGGCUUUCAUCCUUAUCAACCUUUACUGUACCUUAUUUCUGUUGAGUCUUAUUACCAUAACAUUGUUGAAAUUUUGCGUUAGUGGAGCCUGGAAGAUCAUCUAAUCCUAAGUUGCAGAUCUCAUGCUACCAUUUUCCCAGUGACCAUGCCAGACAUCACAAAUUGUUCUCCUGUCUUUCCCUUCAAGAUCUGAGGCAAUCUCAGAAACACUGUCAGAUUAGAAAUGUAGGCAGCCUCUCACUGUGAGCCCAACAGAUUCAUCCCCGUUUAUCACUCCUGAUCUUGCAAAAAAGAAAAUUGACAAUUAGCAGUAUAGGAGAACGUCCUUUUGUACUCACAGCUAGUUAAGGCUUAAGUCAGGUAUUGGUUUACAAUCAAGUCCUCAUUGAUUUGCUCUCCCAACUACCCUCAAAGGAAACUUUCUGAGGUAAAAAGGGGGGAAAUAUUUUUAUUUCAUUUCAUAUGUAAAGGAAAUGAAAAAAUAAUAGAGAGCACCAUUGGAUCCAAACUCACAAUUCUCUGUUUUUAUUCCUGUA